GAUAAACGCUGGCGGCGUGCCUAAUACAUGCAAGUCGAGCGAACAGACGAGGAGCUUGCUCCUCUGAUGUUAGCGACGGACGGGUGAGUAACACGUGGAUAACCUACCUAUAAGACUGGGAUAACUUCGGGAAACCGGAGCUAAUACCGGAUAACAUGUUGAACCGCAUGGUUCAACAGUGAAAGACGGUCUUGCUGUCACGUAUAGAUGGAUCCGUGCCGCAUUAGCUAGUUGGUAAGGUAACGGCUUACCAAGGCAACGAUGCGUAGCCGACCUGAGAGGGUGACCGGCCACACUGGAACUGAGACACGGUCCAGACUCCUACGGGAGGCAGCAGUAGGGAAUCUUCCGCAAUGGGCGAAAGCCUGACGGAGCAACGCCGCGUGAGUGAAGAAGGUCUUCGGAUCGUAAAACUCUGUUAUUAGGGAAGAAAAAAUGUGUAAGUAACUAUGCACGUCUUGACGGUACCUAAUCAGAAAGCCACGGCUAACUACGUG
Molecule: ribosomal RNA, 497 nt
Filed under: uncultured bacterium
Lineage: Bacteria
Description: partial 16S ribosomal RNA
Rfam family: Bacterial small subunit ribosomal RNA
Source: RNAcentral